RNAcentral lists this transfer RNA (72 nucleotides) under Camelus bactrianus (Bactrian camel). It matches the Rfam family "tRNA". From Rfam's summary of the family: Transfer RNA (tRNA) molecules are approximately 80 nucleotides in length. RNAcentral also lists the same sequence under 3 other names. The record is from Rfam by way of RNAcentral. Lineage: Eukaryota; Metazoa; Chordata; Mammalia; Artiodactyla; Camelidae.
GAGAGUGUAGCUCAGUGGUAGAGUGCAUGCUUAGCAUGCAUGAGGUCCUGGGUUCAGUCCCCAGUACCUCCA